UAUCUCUGCUAGCUGUUUCAUGGGGCAAGGAAAAGAGGUUGCAAAUAGCCUUCCGUUCAGGGAAUAGAACUCUCUGGAAAAUGAAGCAUGAACAGAGCAAUGAAGGUGGAAUAUAGGCUGUGAUAGACAUUUGAGUAGCUUCAUAAAAUGAACGCUAAGCAGAGCCUGGCAUCUCAUUCAGCAUAGGAUUAGAGAGAAAYUGGAACUUCAAAGGCAAAGCCCCUCAUUUCUGUGAAUCCUCAACACCUGGCCUGUGGAGGAGUGGCCUAGAUUUAUAUUAAGGAGAAUUUCCUGGACAAUCUUCAUUCAAAGCAUUGACUUUGCUCAGUCUUUCCAGUCACUUACCCGUCAUACAAGGCUAACUUUGAUAAAAUCUCCAGAUGGCAUGGUACUUCAGCGAGGUCUCUGCCUGGGUUCCAAGUGCAAAACAAAGUUGCUCGUGAGUCAUACCAACAAGUUAGAUUGGAGGUAUCUGCCAGUGGAGUAGAGACGGACAGUAACACGGAUGAAUCAGCA
Molecule: long non-coding RNA, 516 nt
Organism: Nothoprocta perdicaria
Lineage: Eukaryota; Metazoa; Chordata; Aves; Tinamiformes; Tinamidae
Exons: 2
Source: RefSeq, a predicted model, not a curated record